This 403-nucleotide ribosomal RNA is filed under the name uncultured bacterium. RNAcentral describes it as "partial 16S ribosomal RNA". It matches the Rfam family "Bacterial small subunit ribosomal RNA", at positions 28 to 526 of the family's 1533-position model. The record is from RNAcentral.
GACGAACGCUAGCAGCGUGCCUAAUACAUGCAAGUCUAACGCAGUGGGGACGGGUGAGUAACACGUGGGUAACCUCCCAUCAGAGGGGAUAACACUUGGACACAGGUGCUAACCCGAUACCGAUGGAUUAACCCGCGGUGCAUUAGCUAGUUGGUGGGGUAACGGCUCACCAAGGCCACGAUGCCUAGCCGACCUGAGAGGGUGAUCGGCCACACUGGGACUGAGACACGGCCCAGACUCCUACGGGAGGCAGCAGUAGGGAAUCUUCGGGAAUGGACGAAAGUCGGACCGAGCUACGCCGCGUGAGUGAAGAAGGUUUUCGGAUCGUAAAACUCUGUUGUUAGAGAAGCGGUAUCUAACCAGAAAGCCACGGCUAACGACGUGCCAGCAGCCGCGGUAAUAC